This 131-nucleotide small nuclear RNA is filed under the name Fonticula alba. RNAcentral describes it as "U4 spliceosomal RNA". It matches the Rfam family "U4 spliceosomal RNA". Rfam says of the family: U4 small nuclear RNA (U4 snRNA) is a component of the major U2-dependent spliceosome. The structure of U4 snRNA from yeast and human has been reported. U4 snRNA presents a k-turn RNA motif in the 5p-SL related to recognition of Snu13 protein. The record is from Rfam by way of RNAcentral. Lineage: Eukaryota; Rotosphaerida; Fonticulaceae.
GUCCUUGCGCAGUGGUGAUCACCGUAGUCAAUGAGGGUCUCCCGAUGGCACGGUUAUUGCUGAUUGAAAACUAUCCCAAUUACCCGCACUCGGCCACUGGCCUUGUGCAAUUUUUGAGCAUGUCCCAACAU